UGGGGAGCGUCAGGUAAUGUGCGAGAAUUACAGCCCGCGACUACUUACCAGUCAGCGAAUCCUACCGAUAGUGAUAUUACUCACACGGUUAGGCUAACUACUUCUGGUAAACCCACUCCCAUGGUGUGACGGGCGGUGUGUACAAGGCAGGAACGUAUUCACCCGCAACAUGCUGAUCCGCGGUUAUGGCGAUUCAAACUACACGCAGUCAGGUUGCGAACUACUUUGAUCGGACUACGAUCAGGUUUCUAGGAUUGGCUCCCCUCGCGGGUUGGCGGCCACUCUGUCCCGGCCAUUGUACCGGCGAUAUGAAGCUACCCAUAAGGAGCCAUGAGACAACGUCAUCCCCACCUUCCUCCCGGUUGUCUGGCGAAGUCUCAUUAGAGUGCCCUUUCAUGCUCAACUAAUGACAGGAGUUGCGCUCGUUGCAGGACUUAACCCAACAUCUCACGACACAGCUGACGACCUUCACUUCACAGCACCUGUGUUUCACGGUUCUCUUACGGCUUUCCCAAUCUCUUCCGGUUCCCAGACAUGUCAAGGGUAGGUAAGGUUUUCGCGUUUGCAUCGGGUAAUCCACAUCAUCACCGCUUGUGCGGGUCCCGUCAAUUCCUUUGAGGUUUUUAAUCUUGCGACCGUACUCCCCAGGCGGUCAACUUCCGCGUUAGCUGCGCUACCAAGGCGAGGCUAACAACCGUUGACAUCGUUUAGGAGCUGGUGAGACUGCCAGAAUUAAUAAUCCUGUUUUGCUCCCCGCGCUUUUCGUGCAUGAGCAGUCAGUGUUAUCCCAGGAAGGCUGCCUUCGCCAUCGAUUGUUCCUCGCAUAUCUACACUUGUUCACUACUUUACACGCCGGGUGCCUCCUCUGACACACUCUAGCUCUGAUGAUUAAAAAUGCGGUUCAGAAGUUGAAACAAGGUUUCCAUCUUUCUUUCGAACCGCCUGCGCACGCUUUACGCCAGUAAUUUCGAUUGACAUUUACUUUACGUAUUGCCGCGUAUGGCUGUAGUUAGCCGGUGCUUAUUCUGCAGGUACUAAAUCAGUUACUUUGAGGGUAUUAUCCCGUGCCGGUUUCUUCUGCCGAGUUGGCACACAACCAGGGGCCUUAAAAUACACAGCGGGAUGGCGCGGAUCAGGGUUUUCCCCCCAUUGUCCAGAAUUCCCCACUACUUGCCCAUCGUAGAGAUCUGGGCAAAUGUCUCUCAGUCCCCCAGUGUGGCUGGUCGUCCUCUCAAACCAGCUACAGAUCGUCCGCCUUGGUAGGCCGUUGCCCCCACCAACUAGCUAAUCCGAUAUCAGCCGCUCUAAUGGUGCGGGCCAGAAAAUUCCCCGCUUUCCCCGAAGGGCCGUGUGCGGUAAUGGCUACGCGGCUUUCGCGUAAGAUUAUCCCCCGCUACUAGGCACGUUCCGAUGCAUUACUCGCCCGUUUAAGUAAGCUCGCCGCAGACCGAAGUCCGUGCCGUUCGACUUAUGUGUAAGCAUCCGCCGAAAGCGUUCAAUCUGAGCCAGGAUCGAACU
RNAcentral lists this ribosomal RNA (1518 nucleotides) under uncultured Bordetella sp. RNAcentral describes it as "partial 16S-23S ribosomal RNA intergenic spacer". Lineage: Bacteria; Pseudomonadati; Pseudomonadota; Betaproteobacteria; Burkholderiales; Alcaligenaceae. The record is from RNAcentral.